UUUGGUCGCCAACGAGUGGCGGACGGGUGAGUAACACGUAGGUAACCUGCCCAGAAGCGGGGGACAACAUUUGGAAACAGAUGCUAAUACCGCAUAACAGCGUUGUUCGCAUGAACAACGCUUAAAAGAUGGCUUCUCGCUAUCACUUCUGGAUGGACCUGCGGUGCAUUAGCUUGUUGGUGGGGUAACGGCCUACCAAGGCGAUGAUGCAUAGCCGAGUUGAGAGACUGAUCGGCCACAAUGGGACUGAGACACGGCCCAUACUCCUACGGGAGGCAGCAGUAGGGAAUCUUCCACAAUGGGCGCAAGCCUGAUGGAGCAACACCGCGUGAGUGAAGAAGGGUUUCGGCUCGUAAAGCUCUGUUGUUAAAGAAGAACACGUAUGAGAGUAACUGUUCAUACGUUGACGGUAUUUAACCAGAAAGUCACGGCUAACUACGUGCCAGCAGCCGCGGUAAUACGUAGGUGGCAAGCGUUAUCCGGAUUUAUUGGGCGUAAAGAGAGUGCAGGCGGUUUUCUAAGUCUGAUGUGAAAGCCUUCGGCUUAACCGGAGAAGUGCAUCGGAAACUGGAUAACUUGAGUGCAGAAAGAGGGUAGUGGAACUCCAUGUGUAGCGGUGGAAUGCGUAGAUAUAUGGAAGAACACCAGUGGCGAAGGCGGCUACCUGGUCUGCAACUGACGCUGAGACUCGAAAGCAUGGGUAGCGAACAGGAUUAGAUACCCUGGUAGUCCAUGCCGUAAACGAUGAGUGCUAGGUGUUGGAGGGUUUCCGCCCUUCAGUGCCGGAGCUAACGCAUUAAGCACUCCGCCUGGGGAGUACGACCGCAAGGUUGAAACUCAAAGGAAUUGACGGGGGCCCGCACAAGCGGUGGAGCAUGUGGUUUAAUUCGAAGCUACGCGAAGAACCUUACCAGGUCUUGACAUCUUGCGCCAACCCUAGAGAUAGGGCGUUUCCUUCGGGAACGCAAUGACAGGUGGUGCAUGGUCGUCGUCAGCUCGUGUCGUGAGAUGUUGGGUUAAGUCCCGCAACGAGCGCAACCCUUGUUACUAGUUGCCAGCAUUAAGUUGGGCACUCUAGUGAGACUGCCGGUGACAAACCGGAGGAAGGUGGGGACGACGUCAGAUCAUCAUGCCCCUUAUGACCUGGGCUACACACGUGCUACAAUGGACGGUACAACGAGUCGCGAACUCGCGAGGGCAAGCAAAUCUCUUAAAACCGUUCUCAGUUCGGACUGCAGGCUGCAACUCGCCUGCACGAAGUCGGAAUCGCUAGUAAUCGCGGAUCAGCAUGCCGCGGUGAAUACGUUCCCGGGCCUUGUACACACCGCCCGUCACACCAUGAGAGUUUGUAACACCCAAAGUCGGUGGGGUAACCUUUUAGGAGCCAGCCGCCUAAGGUGGGACAGAUGAUUAGG
This 1415-nucleotide ribosomal RNA is filed under the name Limosilactobacillus fermentum. RNAcentral's name for it is "Lactobacillus fermentum 16S ribosomal RNA". It matches the Rfam family "Bacterial small subunit ribosomal RNA". Lineage: Bacteria; Bacillati; Bacillota; Bacilli; Lactobacillales; Lactobacillaceae. The record is from RNAcentral.